CAUGUGGUUUAAUUCGAAGCAACGCGCAGAACCUUACCAACCCUUGACAUGGCGAUCGCGGCCCGAGAGAUCGGGCUUUCAGUUCGGCUGGAUCGCACACAGGUGCUGCAUGGCUGUCGUCAGCUCGUGUCGUGAGAUGUUCGGUUAAGUCCGGCAACGAGCGCAACCCACGCCUUUAGUUGCCAUCAUUCAGUCGGGCACUCUAAAGGAACUGCCGAUGAUAAGUCGGAGGAAGGUGUGGAUGACGUCAAGUCCUCAUGGCCCUUACGGGUUGGGCUACACACGUGCUACAAUGGCGGUGACAAUGGGCUAACCCCCAAAAGCCGUCUCAGUUCGGAUCGGGGUCUGCAACUCGACCCCGUGAAGUCGGAAUCGCUAGUAAUCGCGUAACAGCAUGACGCGGUGAAUACGUUCCCGGGC
RNAcentral lists this ribosomal RNA (420 nucleotides) under uncultured bacterium. Its description in RNAcentral is "bacterial SSU rRNA". It matches the Rfam family "Bacterial small subunit ribosomal RNA", at positions 938 to 1379 of the family's 1533-position model. The record is from RNAcentral.